Molecule: ribosomal RNA, 253 nt
Filed under: uncultured bacterium
Lineage: Bacteria
Description: partial 16S ribosomal RNA
Rfam family: Bacterial small subunit ribosomal RNA
Source: RNAcentral
UACGUAGGGUGCAAGCGUUGUUCGGAAUUAUUGGGCGUAAAGCGUAUGUAGGUGGACUUAAAAGUCAGGUGUGAAAGCCCACGGCUUAACUGUGGAAUUGCGCUUGAAACUGCAAGUCUAGAGGAUGGAAGAGGUAAGUGGAAUUCCUAGUGUAGAGGUGAAAUUCGUAGAUAUUAGGAGGAACACUCGUGGCGAAGGCGGCUUACUGGUCCAUUCCUGACACUGAAAUACGAAAGCAUGGGUAGCAAACAGG